GUCUUUUUGGUGAAACCAUCACGUCACUUUUUCAAGGUGAAGUUGAAUUUUUUAAAUUCUCAAGAUA
Molecule: transfer RNA, 67 nt
Filed under: Cadlina japonica
Lineage: Eukaryota; Metazoa; Mollusca; Gastropoda; Nudibranchia; Chromodorididae
Description: tRNA-Glu
Source: RNAcentral